RNAcentral lists this ribosomal RNA (200 nucleotides) under uncultured bacterium. RNAcentral's name for it is "partial 16S ribosomal RNA". It matches the Rfam family "Bacterial small subunit ribosomal RNA", at positions 1294 to 1500 of the family's 1533-position model. The record is from RNAcentral.
CGGAUCGGAGUCUGCAACCCGAACUCCGUGAAGCUGGAUUCGCUAGUAAUCGCGCAUCAGCCAUGGCGCGGUGAAUACGUUCCCGGGCCUUGUACACACCGCCCGUCAAGCCAUGGAAGCCGGGGGCGCUUGAAGUGCGUUGCCGCAAGGCGCGCCCUAGAGCGAAACCGGUGACUGGGGCUAAGUCGUAACAAGGUAUC